Molecule: ribosomal RNA, 265 nt
Filed under: uncultured bacterium
Lineage: Bacteria
Description: partial 16S ribosomal RNA
Rfam family: Bacterial small subunit ribosomal RNA
Source: RNAcentral
GUCCACGCCGUAAACGAUGGGCACUAGAUGCCGGGCCUAUAGACGGGUUCGGUGUCGUAGCUAACGCAUUAAGUGCCCCGCCUGGGGAGUACGGCCGCAAGGCUGAAACUCAAAGGAAUUGACGGGGGCCCGCACAAGCGGUGGAGCAUGUGGUUUAAUUCGAAGCAACGCGAAGAACCUUACCUAGGCUUGACAUACCUGUGAAACACCCUGGAAACAGGGUGCCUCCUUCGGGACACUUGUACAGGUGCUGCAUGGCUGUCGU